AUUGAACGCUGGCGGCAGGCCUAACACAUGCAAGUCGAGCGGAUGAAGCGAGCUUGCUCCUGGUUUCAGCGGCGGACGGGUGUGUAAUGCCUAGGAAUCUGCCUGGUAGUGGGGGAUAACGUCCGGAAACGGGCGCUAAUACCGCAUACGUCCUGAGGGUGAAAGUGGGGGAUCUUCGGACCUCACGCUAUCAGAUGAGCCUAGGUCGGAUUAGCUAGUUGGUGGGGUAAAGGCCUACCAAGGCGACGAUCCGUCACUGGUCUGAGAGGAUGAUCAGUCACACUGGAAGUGAGACACGGUCCAGACUCCUACGGGAGGGAGCAGUGGGGAAUAGUGGACAAUGGGGGAAAGCCUGAUCCAGCCAUGCCGCGUGUGUGAAGAAGGUCUUCGGAUUGUAAAGCAGUUUAAGUGGGGAGGAAGGGCAGUAAGUUAAUACCUUGCUGUAUUGACGGUACCAACAGAAUAAGCACCGGCUAACUUCGUG
This 484-nucleotide ribosomal RNA is filed under the name uncultured bacterium. RNAcentral's name for it is "partial 16S ribosomal RNA". It matches the Rfam family "Bacterial small subunit ribosomal RNA", at positions 30 to 507 of the family's 1533-position model. The record is from RNAcentral.